RNAcentral lists this small RNA (67 nucleotides) under Euglena gracilis. RNAcentral's name for it is "Eg-p-Orphan3 AGAUGN box-like small RNA". Lineage: Eukaryota; Euglenozoa; Euglenophyceae; Euglenales; Euglenaceae. The record is from RNAcentral.
CCCGAGGCAACUUGGUUGGGACCAGCUUGCUCUCAUGCUUGUCACCGGCUUCAUACCUCGAAGAUCU